UGACGCCAGUCAGGGGACACUUAUUUUGAAGGCAGCAACAGGAAGUGGCAAAGGAAACUUUCUGCGCCUCAAAUUCCUGAAGUUUGAGUCUAUUGUUCGUGUCGGGAAGCAGUGAGUGGAUCUCUGGACUCAUUCUGGACGGAAACAACACCGUGCAAGUAACGGGCCACACGGACAUGAAAAAGCUGUGAACCGCCCGUGUGAGAGUGUUGCCCACAUUUUUAAGUUUGGGAGAAGUCGGGAAAACGAGUGCUGAUGGCGAAAGAAGGAGGGAGAUAGUUUGGAGGAGCCGAGGAAGGAGCCGAGGAAGGAGCCGAGGAAGGAGUCGAGGAGGCGCUGGGCUAUGUGGCACAGCUCCCAGAGCUCUGCUAGCGGGAGAACGGGUCGCUUCCCUCGCGCUGGUGGGACCUCGGGCUGUUUGCUGGGAAACAACAUUUGCGCCAGUUUUGCGGGCUCCGUUUGAAAAGUCGCUCCAGCUGAAGUCGCUGCGUUUUGCAGCGUGGUCAAAUUUCCUGGUUCCACCCCAACAGCAGCCAGAGGUACGAGAGGCCUGAUUCAAGCUGAAAUGUAACAAAAUAACUAGGGACAUCUAGUUCACCAACAUGUUAUGUUCUUUCUGAUCCAACUUUCCAUACUUUAAUAUGACAGCGCGAGCUCUGGGCAGAACUUAACCCUUGCCUCCACCUCCACAGAGAUGGAGAGAGAGAAGGAGAGACAGCGGCAGCAGUGGGAGGAGAAGGAGAGCAACGAGGCGGAGGAGGACAGGAAGAGGGCCGGUGAUGCUGACGAUGAGGAGGAGGAGGAGGAGGAGGAGGACCUGGAGAACGCGGUGCUGGUCUGGCAGGAAGACUACGGCAAGGACAACCUGGGCCUUCCCAUCAUGCACUGGGAGGCGCUGAGCCUGCACAUCGCUGAGCUGGAGAAGCAGGAGGAGGAAAAGAAGGCGAAGAGCGGAGCGUCUCUGGAGCGAGGCAGCUGGACAGAGCAAAGGAGGAGAGCAGAGAGUUGGGACGACGGAGACGACAACUGCAGCAAUCACAUGAUAGCACUCAGUUCCCGUUUACAGACACAGAUGAACCUUCAGCUCUGUUUCAUCAACAACAGUGAAAGUGAGGACGAUGAGAAGGAAGGAGACGUUCUUGUGAAGGACAGCUCUGGCACCUGGUCAAAGAGAGCGUCCGUUCAGGCUCAUAAAACUCCUCCGCCUGCUGCCAAGCCGGAGAAACCCAAGUCUGGAGGCUUGAGGAACACGCUGAGGAACCUACGAGACAGACUGAGAGCAGACCACAAAUCACCGGCUAAAGCUUGUAGUGAUCGUCUCGUCGAGAGGAGACAUUUGGAGCGAAGUGAUUUAAAUAACUUCACUAUCAAAGAAUUGAAUGCUCUUUGUUCGUCUCUCAGCCAGACUAUACAAGACCUUAGUUCAGAGCUAGUGGGUCGUCUUCAGGUCCGGGAUCAGCUGAGGACAAAACAGGACGCCCUGCUGCUGGAGGUUCAGGACCUGACAUCGGUGUGAACCUGCCAGAGACUCUCGGCUGUUUAGAAAGAUUUGUGUCAGACAGAACCAGUACAGAGCCACUUGUCUGAGGUGUGGUGUAAACGGUACAGUCAACUACACACAUUGGCAUUGGAAUGGACUUUGUGACUAAGGAGCCGUACUGGUUUGUGUUGGCCGACAGACUAAGUAAUGUAACACUGUGGUUGACUGUAGAUAUUUUAGUCAGUUUGUUGUCUGGGAUGAUCCGUUUACAAUACAUAAAGUAAAAAGGGCUUAUUAAUACACAUAAAUGCACUAUAUCAUAAAUUAGUCUUUGUCCCUUAAACAUUAACUCACUAUAACAGAGCUAGAAAUAAACUUCCGUUCCAAUCCUGCA
Betta splendens (Siamese fighting fish) is the source of this 1874-nucleotide long non-coding RNA. Ensembl annotates it as schwannomin-interacting protein 1-like. The record is from Ensembl. Lineage: Eukaryota; Metazoa; Chordata; Actinopteri; Anabantiformes; Osphronemidae.